CUGGGCAGCGUGGGCCCCGUGGACCUGCUGGUGAACAACGCCGCUGUCGCCCUGCUGCAGCCCUUCCUGGAGGUCACCAGGAUGCCUUUGACAGAUCCUUUGAAGUGAACCUGCGUGCGGUCAUCCAGGUGUCACAGAUCGUGGCCAGGG
Chlorocebus sabaeus (green monkey) is the source of this 150-nucleotide non-coding RNA. The record is from RefSeq and is a predicted model, not a curated record. Lineage: Eukaryota; Metazoa; Chordata; Mammalia; Primates; Cercopithecidae.